Corvus hawaiiensis (hawaiian crow) is the source of this 1610-nucleotide long non-coding RNA. RefSeq lists it as uncharacterized. The record is from RefSeq and is a predicted model, not a curated record. The transcript has 3 exons. NCBI's taxonomy places the organism in Eukaryota, Metazoa, Chordata, Aves, Passeriformes, Corvidae.
UUCCAUCUCAGAGCAUAUAGAUAAGUGCAUUUCUCAAAUUCUGUGGAGGCUAUAGAACUUAAAUAUGAAGACACAUUACUGGUUUCAUUAGAAGCUGUAAAAUACUUGAUUUCAGAGACUGGAUCUUUGUCACAAGGUCUGCAUUAACUCCCAUUUGUUCUUAUUCUGAGGAAAAUAAAGCGUAUUUCUGGAAUUGAAACCUUGAUCUACCAGAGGAAGGAAUUUGCCUUUGGAUAUGUACUGAAGUUUUUUACAUGCCUUUCUAGUGCCUGUGGUCAUGGCCCUUUACAGAGCUUCUCUACUGCCCACUCCCUCCUCCACUUCUCUUCCCUGUGUACCUCAACACAGAUCACAACUGUUCAUGUCAGGACUUUCUCCUCUGAGGCUCCAAUCUUUUGGAACACCCCUCCUCUGUCUCUGCCUCAUUGACUUGCAUUGGCUCAUCAAACAUCCACUGAGAACAAGUAUCUGUUUCCUUUUCUAAAUCACCUCAUUGUUUCCUUCCUCUCAAUGAUGAUUUACCUCUGUAUUUAAUUAAUUAUGUUUGGUUUUUGACGUAUGGUUCUUCUGCAGGAUGCCACAUAAAAUGAAGCCUUGUAGUAUGUUACAGGUGGAAAAACAAGGAUGGUAAAAGCUUCAAUUUUUGUUUUUGCAGCAAGUGCACACUUUUCCAUCCUGUAGAAACUGGCAAGGAGGAGAACAUAGUCUGGAAAUGUUUUCCGGGAGUUUUGCAUGUUUCAUCUCACCGGAUGUAGACACCCACAUUUAUGAAAAGUGCUGUCACCCUGGGCUGCUUCUAUAUUGAGACAUUUUUAGAGCAAUAUCCUCCUCAUUCUAAAGCAAAACAAGUCAGAAUAAGUUUCCUAAAAGUACUUCUUUUUCUUCCAUUUAACAGUAAGAAAAGACCUAAGUGCUGACUUAUUCCAACUUGCACAUCUGCCCUGUAAGACUCCAGACUUAAGUGUCUUACCCGCGGCACCUUUUUGUGAACCAUCUUCCUUUCCAGAGGAAAAAAAAUCAUUAAGAGGAAUAGAAAGAAAUGCAAGGAACAGCUGUACUAAGGUGUUGUUAAAAUGAAGGCUGAGAAGCAUCUGGGAGACUCACAGGUCAGACACGCUGAACCAAGCAUGAGGGCAGUGACAACUUCACUGCAAAAGCUUUGUUUGCAUAGCACAUCAAGGGUAGUAUCUGCCUGAGUCCCACGUGGGAGGCACUCUGAACUGUGAAUUUUGGCUCCUUGUUUUCAUUUCUGAGAGAUAAUGAGGAAGAAAAGAUGCAACAAGUUUUCAUUAAAAAGAAGCAAGAAGCCCAUGUGGCCUGAUUUAUAUUUUUAAUACAGUGCAUGCAUGCUACUGUAGAAGUCCUGAUUAAUUACAUGUUUUCAUCUAACUACCAACAAAAUCUUCAUGCUGGGAUGAAAAAUAGGAUGAACAAUCUCAUCAGUAAAACUGUGGACAAAUUUAACACAUGCAGUUAAAGUCAAAUCUGCGUUCCAUCAAGCCCAGUGAAAGAAAAAAUAACCCUCAAAGAAAACCCUUAAAGACUUUAGGAGGCCUUAGUCUUCCCACACUCUGUUUAAUUGUGCUGCCCUCUGCCUAAUUAUGCAGCCU